GCGUGGGUGAAGAAGGCCCUAGGGUUGUAAAUCCCUUUCAGCGGGGAAGAUAAUGACGGUACCCGCAGAAGAAGCCCCGGCUAACUCCGUGCCAGCAGCCGCGGUAAUACGGAGGGGGCUAGCGUUGUUCGGAAUUACUGGGCGUAAAGCGCGCGUAGGCGGACCUGUAAGUCGGGGGUGAAAUCCCGAGGCUCAACCUCGGAACUGCCUUCGAUACUGCGGGUCUCGAGUCCGGGAGAGGUGAGUGGAAUUCCUAGUGUAGAGGUGAAAUUCGU
RNAcentral lists this ribosomal RNA (275 nucleotides) under uncultured bacterium. Its description in RNAcentral is "partial 16S ribosomal RNA". It matches the Rfam family "Bacterial small subunit ribosomal RNA", at positions 399 to 691 of the family's 1533-position model. The record is from RNAcentral.